CCAAGUUUUGAACUUAGUACGAGAAAAAAAAAGAAAAAAUUCAUACAUAGCUACAAUCCAAAUACUAUCCUGUGUACUUCGCAAAAUCUUUAUUACUUUUUUUAUUUUAUUUUUUUAGAAUGGAAUUAUAUCUCUAUACUCGUUACGACUCAAAAUUAGAGUUUUGUGGAAUUAUAAAAGUUACAAACACCCUUGAGAUUGAAGGGAGCCAAAACACAGCACAUAUGAGUAAGGAACAAGGUUUAGGUUGGGAGUGUUUUGGAUUUGAGUCUCAAUACAGGGGACUCCAGAAUAAGAACGGUUAUCGAGGAACCAUAAAUAAAUGAAUUCAGUAACUUCGAUCAAUCCGUAGCAUACGUGUGGAGUUCACGAAGUAUGUUUGACUCUACUGUAAGGUAUAGCAUUGUUCGAUAAAGUAUGAUCUAUAAAGUGUUAUUAUAAAUAUGCAUGUAAAAUCAUGUUCUCUCUGCGGCNAUGUUUGACUCUACUGUAAGGUAUAGCAUUGUUCGAUAAAGUAUGAUCUAUAAAGUGUUAUUAUAAAUAUGCAUGUAAAAUCAUGUUCUCUCUGCGGCACACAAAAGUAGAAGUACGUAAUAGGAGCUCCUGCUUUCGCAUCUUAAGAUACAAUUUUUUAUAUUUAUUACGGCGGCGCAAGAUUCAAACUUUUCUAUUUGUCAAGCGCUCUUCUAAAGAUAUAUAGGAGGAGGAGAAGAAGGGCAGGCGGAAGGAGCACACUCACA
This 740-nucleotide long non-coding RNA is filed under the name Ananas comosus (pineapple). Its description in RNAcentral is "long non-coding RNA (ACOM_LNC024926)". The record is from RNAcentral. Lineage: Eukaryota; Viridiplantae; Streptophyta; Magnoliopsida; Poales; Bromeliaceae.